GCAGGUCUAGAAGUGUCUCGGAUGCUUGAGUCUAACAAAAUCAAGGUUGGAUACUCUGAAGCUGAAGGGGAAUCCUCGACAUUGCUGGAAGCUUUGCGACCUGUUUGCUGUCGUGGGAAUACUGCUUUGGUUUCUCAUGAGCCAAUGCAACAAGUAAAGUCAUACACUGGAAGAGAUCAGCAUCUUCUAGGUCUUCUUCAUCAAGGAAUCCACUAGCCACAGGUGAUGCUGACGACAGAGCAAUUGAUUUUACUGAAGAGUUCUGCAUGAUUGCUGGUAGCCAUUCGUCCACCUUGGAAAGACUGUAUGCAUGGGAAAGAAAACUCCAUG
Molecule: long non-coding RNA, 330 nt
Organism: Hibiscus syriacus
Lineage: Eukaryota; Viridiplantae; Streptophyta; Magnoliopsida; Malvales; Malvaceae
Exons: 3
Source: RefSeq, a predicted model, not a curated record